RNAcentral lists this long non-coding RNA (782 nucleotides) under Gallus gallus (chicken). Its description in RNAcentral is "lncRNA (ENSGALG00010012475.1)". The record is from RNAcentral. Lineage: Eukaryota; Metazoa; Chordata; Aves; Galliformes; Phasianidae.
AGGUUUGCCCCCCAAGGUGAAAACUUAGGGAAGGAGCGCUCAGGAGAGCACGGUGCCUCCCUGAGCAUGAAGAGGAGUGAGUGCUUCAACCUUACGCGAUGGAGCCGCCAUCCUGCGUACCUGCUUGGUGAUGAAAAAUAAAAAAGAAAACCAACAAAACAGGAAGGAAAACAGUGAAAACUCUGAUGCUCCUUGGGGAAUAUGAAGAGACACAGAUUUCAUUUAAGAUAACAAAAAAAAAAAAAAAAAGAGAAGAAAUAAAAACAAAAACACCACCACCACCAACAGAAAGCAGCAGAAGUACCAAGAGUCGGAUGGGUGAAUGCUGCUCUUCAGAGCAGUCCCUGCAAUGGGGACUCCCCAGCCGUGAGGUCCCCAGCUCCCGCAGCAGCUCGGCAGCUCCCUCCCCUCCUCCACUUCUGCACUACGAUUCAUAUGGUGACUGCUGCAGUAAAAUCAGGAGCAAUGAAGACUAUAUAUAAAAGGGCUGGAGUAAAGGCAAGUGGCACCUCAAUUCUACUUCUGAGUAAGCCUUUUGUUUUUAGCAAAACAGGCACAUCAGUGCUGCUCCAGCCAGCCACAGGCUCAGCUUUCCCUGUGGAAGCUGGCAAGGAGCAGCAGGUCUGAGCCUCAGAACUGCAGCGGAGAGGAGUUCCACCUCCUCCUGCUGGUGGCCAACCUUGACUGUUGGCCUUCCUCUGGGGACGGAGGCAUCCCCAUGCUCCGCUGGUCUGCCUAUAGCGAUACAGAUGGGUGACUGGUGAGACCGGGCUGGGCCAGAG